AUACGUAGGGGGCGAGCGUUGUCCGGAAUGAUUGGGCGUAAAGGGCGCGUAGGCGGCCCGGUAAGUCUGGAGUGAAAGUCCUGCUUUCAAGGUGGGAAUUGCUUUGGAGACUGGUUGGCUUGAGUGCGGAAGAGGUAAGUGGAAUUCCCAGUGUAGCGGUGAAAUGCGUAGAGAUUGGGAGGAACACCAGUGGCGAAGGCGACUUACUGGGCCGUAACUGACGCUGAGGCGCGAAAGCGUGGGGAGCGAACAGGAUUAGAUACCCUGGAAGUCACGUGGUAAACGAUGAAUGCUAGGUGUAGGGGGUAUCGACCCCUCCUGUGCCGGAGUGAACACAAUAAGCAUUCCGCCUGGGGAGUACGGCCGCAAGGUUGAAACUCAAAUGAAUUGACGGG
This 395-nucleotide ribosomal RNA is filed under the name uncultured bacterium. RNAcentral's name for it is "partial 16S ribosomal RNA". It matches the Rfam family "Bacterial small subunit ribosomal RNA", at positions 523 to 917 of the family's 1533-position model. The record is from RNAcentral.